UCGUUCGGGGGAUAGGCGAAGUCGCCUCGCGGCGGCUGGCCGCGAAAUUCUCC
RNAcentral lists this non-coding RNA (53 nucleotides) under unclassified sequences. RNAcentral describes it as "leuA-Halobacteria RNA". It matches the Rfam family "leuA-Halobacteria RNA". The record is from RNAcentral.